AUUUGCCCCAAAAUCUCCUAAAUCCGACCCCAAAAUCCCCGGAAUUUCACCCCAAAAUGUCCCAAAAUCCCCAGAAUUUGACCCAAAAUCCCCAAAAUUGAACCCAAAAUGUCUCAAAAUUUCACCCCAAAAUGUCCCAAAAUCCCCAGAAUUUGCCCCAAAAUGACCCAAAAUCCCCUGAAUUUGCCCCAAAAUCUCCCAAAUUUGACCCAAAAUCCCCAAAUUUGCCCCAAAAUCUCCCAAAUUUGACCCAAAAUCCCUGAAAUUUCACCCCAAAAUGACCCAAAAAUCCCCAAAUUUGAACCCAAAAUCCCCAAAAUUUCACCCCAAAAUCCCCAAAAUCCCCAGAAUUUCACCCAAAAUGUCCCCAAAUCCCCCAAAAUCUCCCAAAAUUUCACCCCAAAAUGUCCCAAAUUCCCCUGAAUUUCACCCAAAAUGACCCAAAAUCCCCAAAAAUGUCCCAAAAUUUCACCCCAAAAUUACCCAAAAAUCCCUGAAAUUUCACCCAAAAAGUCCCAAAAUCCCCAAAAUUUCACCCCAAAAUGACCCAAAAUCCCCAGAAUUUGUCCCAAAAUCCCCAAAUUUGCCCCAAAAUGUCCCAAAAAUCCCCAAAAUUGAACCCAAAAUCCCCAAAAUUUCACCCAAAAAUGUCCCAAAAUCCCCAAAAUUGAACCCAAAAUGUCCCAAAAUUCCUGAAAUUGAACUCAAAAUGUCCCAAAAUCCCCAGAAUUUGCCCCAAAAUCCCCAAAAUUUCACCCAAAAAUGUCCCAAAUUCCCCCAAAUUUCACCCAAAAUCCCCAGAAUUUGCCCCAAAAUCCCUGAAAUUGAACCCAAAAUGUCCCAAAAUCCCCGAAAUUUGCCCCAAAAUCCCCAAAAUUUAACCCAAAAUGUCCCAAAAUCCCCGGAAUUUGCCCCAAAAUCUCCUCCCCGUCAGGCGCAGCCGCGGUGCCGGGAGGGCCCCGAACACCCGGGGACAAACAGCCGGGAACAGCCGGAGCUGGUGUGUCCAGGCCUCACCUGUCGGGAAUUCCGCUGCUCCAUCCCCCCCCUGAGCCCCCCCAGAACCUGGGGGUUCACCCUGGGGGGGAAACUGAGGCUGGAGUGGAUGGGACAGGUGAGAGUGGGGGAGGGGACAGGUGAGAGUGGGGGAGG
RNAcentral lists this long non-coding RNA (1152 nucleotides) under Cyanistes caeruleus (blue tit). Its description in RNAcentral is "lncRNA (ENSCCEG00000006459.1)". The record is from RNAcentral. Lineage: Eukaryota; Metazoa; Chordata; Aves; Passeriformes; Paridae.